Molecule: transfer RNA, 88 nt
Filed under: Candidatus Levybacteria bacterium RIFCSPHIGHO2_01_FULL_41_15
Lineage: Bacteria; Candidatus Levyibacteriota
Also listed under: 1 other name
Description: tRNA-Ser
Rfam family: tRNA
About the family: Transfer RNA (tRNA) molecules are approximately 80 nucleotides in length. Their secondary structure includes four short double-helical elements and three loops (D, anti-codon, and T loops). Further hydrogen bonds mediate the characteristic L-shaped molecular structure. tRNAs have two regions of fundamental functional importance: the anti-codon, which is responsible for specific mRNA codon recognition, and the 3' end, to which the tRNAs corresponding amino acid is attached (by aminoacyl-tRNA synthetases). tRNAs cope with the degeneracy of the genetic code in two manners: having more than one tRNA (with a specific anti-codon) for a particular amino acid; and 'wobble' base-pairing, i.e. permitting non-standard base-pairing at the 3rd anti-codon position.
Source: RNAcentral
GGAGAGGUCGCAUAGUUUGGUCCAUUGCGGGGGAUUGCUAAUCCCCUGAGCCGCAAGGCUCGCGUGGGUUCGAAUCCCACCCUCUCCG